This 253-nucleotide ribosomal RNA is filed under the name uncultured bacterium. RNAcentral's name for it is "partial 16S ribosomal RNA". It matches the Rfam family "Bacterial small subunit ribosomal RNA", at positions 524 to 776 of the family's 1533-position model. The record is from RNAcentral.
UACAGAGGGGGCAAGCGUUGUUCGGAAUUACUGGGCGUAAAGGGCGCGUAGGCGGCCUGCUAAGUCGAACGUGAAAUCCCCGGGCUCAACCCGGGAACUGCGUCCGAGACUGAAAGGCUCGAAUCCGGGAGAGGGAUGUGGAAUUCCAGGUGUAGCGGUGAAAUGCGUAGAUAUCCGGAGGAACAUCGGUGGCGAAGGCGGCAUCCUGGACCGGUAUUGACGCUGAGGCGCGAAAGCCAGGGGAGCAAACGGG